RNAcentral lists this ribosomal RNA (439 nucleotides) under uncultured bacterium. RNAcentral's name for it is "bacterial SSU rRNA". It matches the Rfam family "Bacterial small subunit ribosomal RNA", at positions 343 to 796 of the family's 1533-position model. The record is from RNAcentral.
CGGAGGCAGCAGUGGGGAAUAUUGCACAAUGGGGGAAACCCUGAUGCAGCAACGCCGCGUGAAGGAUGAAGGUUUUCGGAUUGUAAACUUCUUUAGUCAGGGACGAAAAAAAUGACGGUACCUGAAGAAUAAGCCACGGCUAACUACGUGCCAGCGGCCGCGGUAAUACGUAGGUGGCGAGCGUUGUCCGGAAUUACUGGGUGUAAAGGGCGUGUAGGCGGGAAUGUAAGUCAGAUGUGAAAUCCCAGGGCUUAACCCUGGAGCUGCAUCUGAAACUAUGUUUCUUGAGUGCCGGAGAGGAAAGCGGAAUUCCUAGUGUAGCGGUGAAAUGCGUAGAUAUUAGGAGGAACACCAGUGGCGAAGGCGGCUUUCUGGACGGUAACUGACGCUGAGGCGCGAAAGCGUGGGGAGCAAACAGGAUUAGAUACCCUAGUAGUCA